AUUGAACGCUAGCGGGAGGCCUAACACAUGCAAGUCGAACGAGUGGCGGACGGGUGAGUAAUAUAUCGGAACGUGCCUAGUAGCGGGGGAUAACUACUGGACACGGUGGCUAAUACCGCAUACCAUAGGAGAGGCCGAUAUCGGAUUAGCUAGUUGGUGGGGUAACGGCUCACCAAGGCAACGAUCCGUAGCUGGUUUGAGAGGAGGACCAGCCACACUGGAACUGAGACACGGGCCAGACUCCUACGGGAGGCAGCAGUGGGGAAUAUUGGACAAUGGGGGAAAGCCUGAUGCAGCCAUGCCGCGUGUAUGAUGAAGGCCUUCGGGUUGUAAAGUACUUUCAGCGGAGAGGCGUUAACUGCAGAAUAAGCACCGGCUAACUCCGUGCCAGCAGCCGCGGUAAUAC
Molecule: ribosomal RNA, 406 nt
Filed under: uncultured bacterium
Lineage: Bacteria
Description: partial 16S ribosomal RNA
Rfam family: Bacterial small subunit ribosomal RNA
Source: RNAcentral